Molecule: long non-coding RNA, 504 nt
Organism: Perca flavescens (yellow perch)
Lineage: Eukaryota; Metazoa; Chordata; Actinopteri; Perciformes; Percidae
Exons: 3
Source: RefSeq, a predicted model, not a curated record
UAGAAGCACCUGCAAGGUUGACAGCCAAACGACAAGAAACUGUCGUUUGAAAGUCACUAUAUUAAAUUAUCAAAACUAAAAGAGACAAGCAUAACGGUAUAUUCGAGUAAAUAGACAAGUGUGUUUUAACUUAAUUUCGGACAAAGACACAAGUUAACGAGUCUCCGGAGUUUUUACGAGCUAUAGGCCUAUUGGCGAUCGAGAGACAGUACAGAUGAAGUGGAAGACCAAAGAUGUCUACAAUGAACACUGCCAGCUCCACAAUGGUGUACCACCAUGGGCCCUGCAUCUGGAGGAUUGCAAGCUUUCACCCGUCUCAGAAAGGCCAGGAAGGGAGUGGGGUGCUCGGGUACCCCGUGGUCUGGCCAGGCCGUGAACUGGAACUGCCUCACCUCUCUCUUCUCACUGGAGCCAUUCUGAAUUAUGGAUUUGGUGAAAGGGGAAGCUGAUAAAGGCCAAUGCCAGAAGCUGGAGCCAGCAGGGGAUCAAGAAAGUAUCAGCAAC